This 497-nucleotide ribosomal RNA is filed under the name uncultured bacterium. RNAcentral's name for it is "partial 16S ribosomal RNA". It matches the Rfam family "Bacterial small subunit ribosomal RNA", at positions 28 to 507 of the family's 1533-position model. The record is from RNAcentral.
GAUGAACGCUGGCGGCGUGCCUAAUACAUGCAAGUCGAGCGAACAGACGAGGCGCUUGCUCCUCUGACGUUAGCGGCGGACGGGUGAGUACCACGUGGAUACCCUAUAUAUAAGAAUGGGAUCACUUCGGGAAACCGGAGAUAAUACCGGAUAAUAUAUUGAACCGCAUGGUUCUAUAGUGAAAGACGGUUUUGCUGUCACUUAUACAUGGUUCCGCGCCGCAUUAGCUAGUUGGUAAGGUAACGGCUUACCAAGGCAACGAUGCGUAGCUGAUCUGAGAGGGUGAUCGGCCACACUGGAACUGAGACACGGUCCAGACUCCUACGGGAGGCAGCAGUAGGGAAUCUUGCGCAAUGGGCGAAAGCCUGACGGAGCAACGCCGCGUGAGUGAUGAAGGUCUUCGGAUCGUAAAACUCUGUUAGUAGGGAAGAACAAAUGUGUAAGUAACUAUUCACGUCUUGACGUUACCUAAACAGAAAGCCACGGCUAACUUCGUG